GGUUUGGUUCCAGCCAGCUGUGAAACUGACAAGGGAGCGGGAAGGGGGGGGGGCUCGCUCCCUGUCUGGGGAGGAGGCUGCGACCAGGCGUGCGAGCCCAAGUGUGUUUAAAAAGCAAUGAGCCACUCCCCCCUCCCCCCGCGCCACUCUCUUCCCUCGCCAGCCUGUUAGCUCUGCUCCCGGCUGUCUGCGAGUCUAGCGCGCAGCGAGCCCAGCGCUGGCCUGGGAGCGAGGGGCACCGCCAGAGGAGCGGGCAGGGGAGCAGAGGGGGCGUAGGCGGCUUCUGUUGUAGGGCGUGCAGCCCGAAAUAAAACAAAACCAGGUCAGUGAGCUUCUUUCACACCCGUCUUCUUCUUUCAGCCGGUGUGUCCGAUGGAGCCUUUUAAAGCAGCCGCCAGCUAGUGGUUUCAGAGAGGACCCCAGUAACUCACGGCAUGGCUGGUUAUACAGUGUGUGUGCGUGUUGACAAGCGGAGUUGCAAAGGAGGGUGCGGGGAAUCUUUCGUCCUGCUCAUCAGCGGGCGGAACUAGGUCGGGCUGCUCGUGUGUCGGGGUUGUGGGGUGACGAUGGGGCUGGUGAGUGCCGGCUCUGGCAUGGGGUGACAGCCAUCUGGCUGAGUCGGUGGUGUCCUCAGAUGCCUCCUUGAGCCCGGGCUGAAGCCAGCCCCUCCGCCCACCACCCUCCCCCUUGUCUCUAGCAGCACGGGGGGCUGCAUUUCCUUCCUGCCCCCGGGCCUUCCCUAAAGAAAUAGUUUCUUCACCGAGGGGUUGUUAUCUCCAGCCCGCUGGGCUUUCUAUCUCCAGCCCUUUCUCCCGAGGAGGGGCUUCCAGGAGGAGGAGAAGAGACAGCUGUUUAGGGCUUUUCAUCUGGCCGAUUCUGCUUGACAGGGGUGAAAUGAUCGCUGGAAGGGCAAGGCAGAACAAAGCUCUGUCACAACUGUGCUUCCUGGUUGUCGCCUCCUGCCUGCAAACCACUGAACAUUUUCCACUUGAUAUCGUCAUGCAGAAAGGGAGAAACGAGACGCAAUGAGAGAUUCAGUGAAUAAGAAAUGAGGAUAGCUAUUGCAUUAGGAUUAUUUCACUUCAUGCAAAUAUUCAGAUGUCCCAACAUGCAAUUGACUGAUGGUGUUAGCAUCCCUGUUGAUUGGCAAUGGAGUGUGGCACCUGCCUGAAGGAGAAAUGCAAAGUGAGAUCAUCUUCAAUUUUGAAUGGAUUUCCGUGACUUUUAUAUUCUUCUUUUAUAUGUGAAAUUUAAAAGGAAAGUUGACAUAUGCCAUACUUACAGCCAAGCUCUUUGCUCCAGGACUGAUGGUUCUCAGUAUUUGUUAUGGAUGUAGCUGGUUAAAAUUUUUCAGAUGAAAUUGGCCUUUUCUGAAAAUGAAAACUUCAUAUUCCCCCCCCCCCAAUUUUUUAGUUGAAAUUUGCCAUUUGUUAAACAAAAAGUAAAACACUUUUGUUUUAUUUUUUCCUGCUCUUUCUACCCCCUU
RNAcentral lists this long non-coding RNA (1486 nucleotides) under Chrysemys picta bellii (western painted turtle). RNAcentral describes it as "lncRNA (ENSCPBG00000026616.1)". Lineage: Eukaryota; Metazoa; Chordata; Testudines; Emydidae. The record is from RNAcentral.